Zingiber officinale is the source of this 7348-nucleotide RNA transcript. RefSeq lists it as uncharacterized. NCBI's taxonomy places the organism in Eukaryota, Viridiplantae, Streptophyta, Magnoliopsida, Zingiberales, Zingiberaceae. The transcript has 6 exons. The record is from RefSeq and is a predicted model, not a curated record.
AUCAGUUUCCACAACUCCUCGAAAACGCCCUGCGGCGCCGGCGAUUCACAGUGAAGCAUAUGGGCAACCCUCUCUUCUUCUUUCAGUUCCUCUUUUUCCUCUCUCGUCGUCUGCUGCUGCAGCAUCUGCACGGCUAUUGAGACUCCUCGAUCAUCCCGCUUUCCAUUGCUUCCCUGAUGCCGUCGUCACCCACUGCGGCGCCAGGCACUUCGCUGGCAGGCGGAGGUAAGAGGCGCAAGGGGCGACCGAAGGGAUCCCUUGGAAAGAAGAGGCAUAAGAGACUUGAUUCCAUCGUAGACAGUCCUGGCCUUAUUCCCCCUCGCCCAGGGUCGCCCGUGGAAGAAGGCGAUGGAAUCCGCCGCAGUUCUCGCGUCCGGCGUGCACCUAUCAUUCUCGAUGCUUCUCCUCCUCUCCGUCGCUGGAGUAAAAAGCAGGGUCUGCAUGAUUCGACCAGAUCUGGUGUUGGUAGAGGUCGAAGGAAGAGGUGGGGAAGAGGUGGUGAUCAGGAUGGUCGGAAAGAACCUCAGUCGGUUUCGGCUUCAUCAAAAAACGCACCUCCUCUUCUUGACGAAGAAAAGACUUCAGAGGAGCAAGUAGAGGACUGGAAAUCACGACUUCGAUCUAGGGUUGGGAAACGAAAAAGAGGUUCAGGUUAUUUUCGGGAUGAUUCUAUGAGAAAAGAAAAGGAAUCAGUGAAGCAGGUAUCGACUGAGAGUGGAUUUGAUUCACAGGAAAGACGAUCUAGUAGGGGGAAGAGAAGAAAGGUUUUGAGCGAUGAUGAAGAUGUGAUUGGUGAAGAAACUAGGUGUGAAGAUGAGAGUUUGCCUUCCAAUGAUGAAGGGGAUAAUGGUGAGAAAGCCAACCAGGAAGACGACACCAAAACUGUCACAGAUUCACAAUCACUCAUCAAUCCAAACAAUGAAAUUGAGAUUUGUUUGUCAUCUGAGGCAGUUAAAGAGAACACGGAGUACAUAAAUGUUGAUGAGGAAGUAUAUGUUCAACAGCCUGAACAAAGAAGGGUAAGCCCAGAUCAGCAACCAGUGGAGGUUAGACCUGAAAAUCAGGAAACCAUCACUCUGGGUGAACAUAUGAAUGGCAAGACUAUCAAGACUAAGAGCAUCGUAGAGGAAGCUAGUUUUAGGGCAUCCGUCACCGAAGAAAAUCAGGUAAGGAAGCACAUAAAGGAGGGUAGAAGGUGUGGGUUGUGUGGGGGUGGUACUGAUGGGAAGCCACCAAAAAGACUUGUUCAAGAAUCUUCUGGUAGUGAUAAUGAGGCCUAUGCAGGAUCUUCAGCUUCAGAUGAUCCAAACUAUGACAUUUGGGAUGGGUUUGGAGAUGAACCAGAAUGGCUUGGCAGGAUUUUAGGCCCCAUCAAUGAUCGUUUUGGCAUUCCCCGCAUUUGGGUUCAUCAACAUUGUGCAGUUUGGAGUCCAGAGGUUUAUUUUGCUGGCUUGGGCUGCCUGAAGAAUGUUAGGGCGGCCCUUUACAGGGGAAGAGCACUGAAAUGCAGUCGUUGUGGGAGACCUGGUGCAACCAUUGGUUGUCGUGUUGACCGAUGCCCUAAAACUUAUCAUCUGCCUUGCAGCCGUGCUGAAGGUUGUAUAUUUGAUCAUCGCAAAUUUCUCAUAGCAUGCCCUGAUCAUAGGCAUCUCUUCCAACCUCGUGGCACUGAGCGUGCUCAGCAAAUUAGGAAAAUAAAAUUGAGGAAGUUGAAGUUAGAUAUGAGAAGGCGUGCACAUGAUGCAUGCAGAAAGGACUUGGAGGCUGAAGAGAAAUGGUUAGAAAAUUGUGGAGAGGAUGAGGAGUUCUUGAAACGCGAAGGCAGGAGGCUUCAUCGAGAUGUCUUAAGAAUUGCACCUGUAUACAUUGGGGGUUCUUCUGAGGAUGAAAAGUUGUUCCAAGGUUGGGAAUCUGUUGCCGGCCUGCAAGAUGUCAUCAACUGCAUGAAAGAAGUAGUUAUAUUACCUCUUCUCUAUCCUGAAAUGUUCAGUAGUUUAGGCCUUACACCUCCUAGGGGUGUUCUAUUGCAUGGUUAUCCUGGUACUGGUAAAACACUUGUAGUUAGAGCUCUGAUUGGUGCAUGUUCACGAGGAGAUAAGCGGAUUGCUUAUUUUGCACGCAAAGGUGCUGAUUGUUUGGGUAAGUAUGUUGGCGAUGCAGAGAGACAACUAAGACUUCUUUUUCAAGUAGCUGAGAGAUCUCAGCCAUCCAUCAUUUUUUUUGAUGAGAUUGAUGGUUUAGCUCCAUGUCGUUCUAGGCAUCAAGAUCAAACGCAUAAUUCAGUUGUUUCUACCUUACUCUCCUUGCUAGAUGGUUUAAAAUCUCGAGGUUCAGUUAUUGUAAUAGGCGCAACUAAUCGUCCUGACUCUGUUGAUCCUGCUCUUAGGAGGCCAGGUAGGUUUGAUCGUGAAAUAUAUUUUCCACUUCCUAAAUUGAAGGAUAGAUCUGCUAUUCUUUCACUUCACACAAAGAAUUGGCCUAACCCUGCAUCUGAACCUCUUCUUUCUUGGAUUGCAAAUCAAACUGCUGGUUAUGCUGGUGCUGAUUUGCAGGCACUAUGCACCCAAGCAGCAAUGAAUGCCUUGAAAAGAAGUUGUGCAUUUCAAGAACUAUUGUCUUCUGCUGAAAAAUGGUCUGGUGAUGGAAAACUUCCUUCCCUUCCUUCAUUUAAGGUCGAGGAAAGGGAUUGGUUGGCAGCUCUUGCAGCUGCUCCUCCUCCAUGUUCACGUAGAGAAGCUGGGAUGGCAGCAAAUUAUGUAGCCUCUUCACCUCUCCACUCUCAUCUUGUUCCAUGUCUUCUGAAACCACUGUCAAAGCUUGUAAUUUCAUUUUAUGUAGAUGAGCGAAUCUGGCUACCUCCUGCAUUACUGAAGGCAUCAGAAUCAAUAAAAAGUAUCAUCAUUUCUGCUCUUGAACUGGCAAGAAUUAACACUAGCUCUUGGUGGUCUCAUCUUGAUUCUUUGAUUAACCAACAAUCUGUUGCGAAUAUGAUUGGGAGAAUGCUUUGUCGUUAUGGCCUGGUAGUUGGUGGAUCAGGAAAUGAUCCAUCUUAUGCACUGGAUGACCAUGAUAAAGAUUGCCAUCUUGUUGAUUCAGAUAUACUUAAACCAUCGGACAUGUUGAGAAAAAAUUCCGUUGAAUUAGGAAAAUCACAUGGAUUUCGAGCUUUGAUUGCUGGACUGCCAAGGUCUGGCCAGCAACAUUUGGCUAGUGCUCUCCUUCAUGGAUUCAAUGGUCAUUUAGAAAUUCAAAAGAUUAAUCUGGCUACUAUGUCACAGGAAGGACAUGGAGAUAUCGUUCGUGGAUUGACUCAAACUCUUUUGAAAUGCAUGAAUGGUGGAAGAUGCAUGAUUUAUAUGCCUAGAAUUGAUCUCUGGGCAAUUGAGACUGCUGAGUCUACUGAAACCUAUCUAGAUACUUGCCAUGUGUCUACUGUUUCAGAGGUCAACGGUGCAGUCAGAGUUGCUUCAGAAGCAUGGAAUCUAUUUAUUGAGCAGGUGGAUUCCUUGACAGCGCCUGCAUCUUUAAUCAUCAUGGCCACGUGUGAAAUGCCUACCCAUGAUCUUCCUCUUGGAAUAAGGAAAUUCUUUACAAAUCAUGUAUCACUUGGUCCUAGUUUGGUUCCCUCACAACAUGCUAUUCCACGUUUUUCAGUUGAUGUAGAUGGAAAUUUCAGCCUUGAACUGUUAGUCAGUUUAUGUACAGCAAAAUUAGUUGAAAAUCUGGUUCAGAAUUAUAUCCAGUUGAUGUAUCAAUAUACUCAUAUGGAUAACUGUCGCAAUUCUUAUAAAACCUUUCAAAUUCCUGAAGUUUCAGAAUCACAAAUGCAAUGCAUAGAUGCAAAAGAAAUAGUUCCUGUAUCUAAUGAACAGAAGGAUACUGAGCAGAUAGCUACUAUUGGCGAGGCUUCCUUGAUGGAUAAUCAAAAGCAGCAAAAUUUAGGAGAUGAUCAGGCACAGCCCCUGCCAUCUACAAUAGUUCAUGGUAUCACUGACAUUAAGCACAAUGGCUGUCAAGACUCGGUUGUAAAAACUGUCAGUAAAAGUGUGAAGGGUGGUUCCAUGUUAGGAAUCACCACAUUUGGCUACCAAAUAUUGCGUUACCCUCAUUUUGCAGAGCUUUGUUGGGUCACCUCAAAAUUGAAAGAAGGUCCUUGUGCUGAUAUAAAUGGUCCUUGGAAGCAUUGGCCAUUCAAUUCUUGUUUGGUGAAUGCAUGCAACAUGCCAGAGAAGCUAGUUUCUGAAGGAGGUAGCAAUAUAAAAGACAGGGAAUUAUCUGGUACGGUCAGAGGACUAAUAGCAGUAGGUUUAUUGGCUUACCAUGGUAUCUACACAUCAGUUAGAGAAGUUUCCUCUGAAGUCAGAAGAGUUUUAGAACUCUUAGUGGAACAGAUUCGUACCAGGAUUUCAGAGGGGAAAGAUGCAUUUCGUUAUUUUCGAAUUCUUUCUCAGGUGGCUUAUUUGGAGGAUAUUGUUAAUUGCUGGGCUUACACUUUUCGUAGGUAAUUUCUCAUUUCCUGUGCAUGCAUUUUGUUUGAUCUUCAAUGCUUGUGCAGUUGUAUGCCUACUUCAUGCACUGCCACCAAUUAUACACAUUCAUUUAAUUAAUUAAUUUUGCUGAUUGUGAAAAUUGUUUCUCAACAAAAAACUGAAGUUAUGACAGCCUCAUCAAUUAAGCAUGAAAACUGUCGCACUGAAUAAACCUCAUACUUUGCACUAGGACAUUAAGUAUUGCCACUAUUACAUAAUGGUGAAGACAUUCUAGGGCAUGUUAAAAUAUAAUUUAAAUCAGAAUUAAAAGUCAUUACAUUGCCUCAGAUAUAUCCAUUGGCUAUUUAUUACAUAUAUCCUAAUUCAUAAAUCUAAAUAAAAGCAAUAGAAGCUUCUAAAGAUAAAACUCUUCUUAGUUACUGGAUUGCUAAAUCAUCAACUAGAAUAGAAGAAACAUAUAAGUAACAUGGUAUCAAUACCAAGUUAGUAGGGUUUCCAUGAGUCAAGGCUGAAGCAGUGAAGGUUUAUGGAAAAAAAGAACAAGAUGAAAUUAUGCAUGAGCAUUAAACAAGGACAAGAAUAUUGAAUGCACACAUAAGGUACGAGUGGCUGAUGUAACUCUCCCACUCUUUUAGAGAGGUGUUCACACUUGCCACAAUUCGACAUGGACUCACCAUAAUCAUCAUAAGGAUGGUUAAUCUUGCCAUUGCUACAUAUGACAACUCUGAUCCCAAUAUGGAUUAAUGUAGGAAUCCAUAAUUUUGAGGGUGUUCUUUAUUUCAAUAAUUACCAUCUUAUAUCCUAAGCAUAAUCUGAAACAAGAAUAAGAGAAUAAAGAUUUCAAGGCAUGAUAAUGAUUAACCAAAAUGUCAUGCGAAUAAAUGGAAAUCAGAUAUGAUUUAAAGAAGAUUUGAAAGAAAAUAAUUCACUGGAAUUGUCAAGAGAAUAAUUGCAAAUAAAUUCACUCUUUAACCAAAAUUAUAAGGCUUGAGAAAAAGAACUAUAGCACAUGCACCAUCUAAGGAGUUGGGAAAAGCCUACCUUGAUCCAUAAUUGGUAUGAAUCCUUCUCCUUCUACCAGUAGAGUUGCUUUAUUUGAAUGAUAUGCACAUCUAGGGAAGCCAAUUAUAUCAGAGAGAAUUAUUAUAAAAUGCAUAGCUUAAAAACCCUAACAUGUAUCUCGAUUGAUUGGAUUUCAUUUACAUAUCUUCCUUAAAAUAUUAAAUCAUCUCUAAUUCAUAAUUUCACUAUUAGGGUGACAUCCUAAGCUCAAUCCAACAUGGAGAAUUUUCGCUAAUAAAUAGGUUAAUAAGCUUGGAAAGGUGAGCUACUAUUUUGGACUUAAACAUUUUGGGUCAAUGAUUAAGUGGAAAAUUGUAUUUAUAUGACUUGUCACAAGUAUUAUCGGAGUAAAUUUGUGUAGGGAAAGAAGAUUGCUCGUGUGAUCAUGUAGCUCUACUAAUUAUAGAUGAUUGUAGGCUAUGAGUUAGAGACCUUGCUAUGGGUGUCAAGCCUCAACUGGAGAUAAUAUGAGACCUUAUUUUAGCUCAUCGAUUUGGAGAACUGCGAACCAAUAGGAUGAUUUUAUAAUCAAAGACAACUUACCAUCGGAGAUUCAAAAAGGACCUCUAAAUAUUAAUACAACUAUUCCAGAUGAUGCAUUGGUGGAUAUUGUGUCAAAUGAAAAACCUAGUCUAAAAAAUGGAUCAAGCAUGCCAAUUGAUCCGACAUGUUGUGAAUCUCAAGCUAUUUUGAUCAAAGAAAAUCCUACAGAACUUGUGAAGGUUGUUCAAUAUGAUAAUCUGAUUAAAGCACCUCAGCUAUUAUCUACUUCUGAAGUUUGUUUCAGAGACAAUCCUUCAUCUAAUUUGCAUCUAAGUUCUCAAUCUGCAAGUGCACCAGUGAGUGAAAGCAGAACAAAUGGAUUGGAGAGACCAUUUUUUAAAAAUCAUGAUGUAGAUCAUUCUAAUGCUUCACAGGGGACAGAAAACAGUUAUCCAUCGCUGUCUAAUGUCUGUGUUUUUGACAGCUCGGGCAAGGAGAUUCCGUCUUGCUCUGAGAGAGUUACGAAUCCUCAGAAUGGUCUAGAAAAGAAUUUACCAACAAGUGGGAUUAUUACUGAACAAUUGGGUAUGUCACCUGACAGAAAUGGCAGCCUUUCAGCUUCGUUGGAUUUUUCAUGCCUGUAUUGUUGUUGUGGCAGUUGUGUGCAAACAUUGUUUGUGUUGGUUCACCGUAUACUCUUUGAUUCCGUGAAUUCAAGUGAUCGUUCGUCAAGGGUUGAUGAUGUCCAUGACAUUCUUGCUUCAUGUUGUUCGAAUAUUUUAGCAACAGUUAGAAGGUGCCAUGAAUCUCCUAGCAGAUCUAUUAAUCAGAGCACGUCCAAAAGGCAACCCUGUGCCUGUCAGAAUGAGAGUGGCAAAAUGCUCAACGAGACAUCGGUCUGUUCUUAUGAGAAAAUUGGAUUUCUACCUGUUGAGUGUGUCCAUUUAAGAAACAGUAGUCAGGCUGGAACAGCAAAUUCUGAUAUGGGUUCACUAGCACAAGAUUUAAAAUUUUUUCUUAAAGAUGGUGUAUUGAUGCCUUCAGACGCCCAGAUGAGCAUCCCACUCCAUUGCAAAUUUGAAAAGUUAUGCCUUUCAUCUGUAGUACAGGCAAUAUUAAUCCAUAAGCAACAGUUGAAGUAAGAAAUUGCAUUUGGUUGCUUGUUGAUUGCAAUCAGUUAUCUUUGUUGGAGUUGCACAAAUUUUUCACCAUGUUGAUCAUGACUCGUGAUUCCCACUGGUUAUUUGUCAUGAAAUAUUUAGUUGUAACUGUUCAGGUGGCCUUUUCUUUGAUACCCAAACAUAUUCAGUAUA